Long non-coding RNA from Pantherophis guttatus, 1316 nucleotides. RefSeq lists it as uncharacterized. NCBI's taxonomy places the organism in Eukaryota, Metazoa, Chordata, Lepidosauria, Squamata, Colubridae. The record is from RefSeq and is a predicted model, not a curated record.
GAAGCCACGCCCGGACGGGGAAGUGGGAUGGCGGGAUUGAACGCAUAGGAGACGUGAGAAGGCGUGUACAUCCAACUACUUCCUUGUGACGAGAGUGGAGAGCAAAGAGAAGUUGAGUACCUUUUAUAUCAAGUGGGAGGGGGAAGUGGAACAUUGCAUUAUGGGGCAUGUAGUUUAAAUAGAACAUGUUAUAUUGAUGAUGUUUAUUCCAGAUUAAAACAUUCUGGUAUUUCAUCUCAACAAUACCCCUUCUAAUAUCAGAUUGGUUUAAUCAAAAUAAUUACAAGUACUGUAACUAUAAUACACUAUUUAUAUAUUUACACAUAGUCUCUUUGUUAAAUAAAUAUGCUGAUUUGAUGGGAGUGGUUUAAUUAAUAUAUCUGCGGUUUGUUCUUUCGUUUUACAAUGUACCACCUUUAUAAAUCCCAUUUCUGAUAACUGUCUCACAUGUUUAUAUUUAAUGUCUAUAUGUCUGGAUCUUUGAUCAAUUGCGUCAUCUUUAGAUAUGUCAAUGGUGGCUUUGUUGUCUUCCCGUAUGAUUAUUGGAUAUGCAGGCUCUUUCCAAAUGUCUAUCAUUAAAUCAUCGAACCAUAUUAAAUUGUUCGCCGCUUUCGACAAACAUACAAACUCUGCCUCUGUAGUUGAUGUUGAUACAAGCUUUUGUUUUCCUGUGUACCAAUGUAUUGGGCUUUCAUUUAAAUAUAUGACAUAACCUGAGGUGCUUUUUCUCAUUUUAUUGUCACUAGCCCAAUCCACAUCUGCAUAACAUGAGAGUAUUGGUGACUUGGAUAUCUUUGGGCAGCUGCGGAGAGAGCUGAUAACUGUCAAGGUCAACCAUCCCAGCAUACCAGAUAGAUGGGACCGCCUAAAGAAGUACACCACAUAACACCUUGGGGAGAUGUGGAUUGGACAUUCAACCUGGGACUGUGUGUGGAGGGGUUUGGGGGAUGCUUUCAAUAUGUAAUUUUCACGCCUAUUGCCUCAGACUUUGCUUUUCUUUCACUGCAUUCAGCUCAUACUCAGUAAAAAUACCUUUCUGUACAAACAUGGAGUUGGGGUUUUUCUUUCUUGAGUUUUGGAUGGAAGCAAGCCUGACAGUGGGGGAGGUUGAGCUGAACUGUCACUGGGUUAAUUACUUUCAUUAUUGGAAAUGGACCUAAAAAUUUAGGUCCUAACUUUUUGCUAGGCAGCCUUAGUCUUAUGUAUUUUGUUGACAGAUAAACCCGAUCUUCCACAUGAAAAGGGGGUUGAAGAGAUCGAUGUUUAUCUGCUUGCUUUUUGUAUGUUUCAGCAGCUUCCGCUAGUUCCUUGGUAUU